UGCUACAGUGUUGGACCGGCCUGAUAGUCGCCGAUGCUUCGGGCGACAUAUUGGCCUUGGUACGAGCGGGCAGAGCACACGGAUUUGCCAUCCGUGCGUCCCUGUUCACAGGGGGUUAGUCUGGACUCCACGGCUGAAUGCCCAUCUCCUGAUUCUCCUCUUACUCAUUCGUCGCUGGCGACGACAGUUUCUAGCGCUUCCAACGCCGCACCGAGAAGGGAUUUCCUCCGUCUCCCCAGCUGCGUCACACCCCUCGCCCCUCGCUUCUAUAGCCUGUACGAGAUCAGCAACAUCUGCAGGAGACAAGGAUGUUACCAUCUGGCACGUGAUAUGAGGGUCAUGGUACCUCAGGUCCUUACCAACUAAUACCACUUCUACGCCAAGGAAUCGCAUUAGUAUCUGCUUAUCAAGCGAGAGUUUAGCAGGCAUGAGGGCGAUGAACUUGUAUCCUUUCUGAGCAGCAAUGAACGCCACGCCGAUGCCGAGAUUACCACUCGUGACCCCCAGCAGCGUUGUGAUGCCAGAAUGUCUUCCUCGGAAGGGAGUAAAAAGAGCAGCCACCUGAGAGCACUCCGAUCCUUCACAGAGGAAAGGGGCUGGUACGGCUCAAUCUUCCCAAUAAGCCGAGCACCUAUGCCGUCUUUCUCAGUGAUGUUUCUCAGUUCUAUCAGUGGUGUCCAACCAAUGAGCUGGAAGGCAUAGAAUUUACUUGCAGAUUAAAGAUAACAAGCUUUGUACAGUGAAGGAAUAAUGACUAUAUACAGAGAAAGUAGGCACCUGCGUGAUGUUGGUGGCGAUGCACUCCCCCUGCGAGGACAGCAGAGAUGAAAUAGGAGGCGCUCCAGCGUUCAAUGAUGUUAUAUAGCUGAGAAGUCCCAUUCUGAUGUUUGCAGCAUGCCAAUGAGAUACUAAAUUCAGAAAACCACCGAUUGGUUGGAAGCCUAGAACUUGGAACACAAGUUUCCCUGUAUGCCAAGAAACCACCGAUGGGUUGGAAGCCUGGAACUUGAACCCCAAGUUUCCCUGCUUAUAGAACAAGACAAUCAACCAUUAUGCAGAGGGUCACAAAGUGCCAAAUGUAUUAGACUCGUGGUCUGUGACUUCGCUGCAAGUUGAGACGACUGGUUACGUAUUCAUGAGCUGAAGAUGCUGGGGUAAUCAACACAGAUUUGGCAAGCUUCCCUGCUCUCUGAAAAGAUAAUUAGUUAAGCAUCAGGACACUUGUAGACUUGUAGCACACAAUCAAGAGGUUGUUCACAAGAGACUGCUCCAGUUGGGAUUUAUCUAACUGUGAUGAUCAUUGAUCAAUUCAGUGUGGUACUACUGCGCAUCAGGUCAAAAGGUGGCAUGUUUUUAUGUCACCUCUGGUGGUUCGUGCAUCGCCUCAUCGGAAUUUCUAACGAAGAAUAAUGUGCAGUAGGGGGGCAAGUCGAUCUUUGCACAGCGCUUAUGAUCGAGUUAAUCAGGGUAAGAGUGGCAUGCGAACUGGUGUGCUAUUCUCCAUUCGAUUCAUUUCAUUGGGUUCCUUUUCGAGUUCCUGGAGUUGAUGAUUACCUCGAUCAUAAUAGCACGCCAGGAACUUCUUAGGUUACCUCGAUCAUAUUAUGCUGUUGCUUCUUCCACCUUCGAUGCAACCUAAGAAGUUCCUGGAGUUCCUGAAGUUCCGGGAAGGGGAGGAUGGCAAGAACAGGUUCCAAAAGAUAUUUUCUCUUCAUGAUAGCUUUAUCUUUCACUUCUUCUUCUUCUUCUUCUUCUUCUUCUUCUCCUAUUCAUUUUUUGUACGAAACUCUUCCCUUAUUCUUGAGUAGAUAGUUCUGCACUUAUAUCCCCAUUUGAUGGUAGUCGCUAACACAUAAUUUAUGCCAAACUAAACCAUAUUUCUUUAAGAUUUUGAAACUGGUGAAA
Molecule: long non-coding RNA, 1905 nt
Organism: Triticum urartu
Lineage: Eukaryota; Viridiplantae; Streptophyta; Magnoliopsida; Poales; Poaceae
Source: RefSeq, a predicted model, not a curated record